GUCAAGCUACAGCUCAUAUUUAUAGGUGCCGGUACACAAAAUAAGGCCAGUUCAUGGGAGAAAUGCAGAUUUAGUCUAACUUCUCUUCACCAGACAUCUGUCUGAAAUAAAGCGUUCUAGACGGUAGAUGAGGGUGUGUGAGCACACCCAUUCAGGAUAGGGUGGAACCAGGAUGUUGCCUGCCUGAGAAUGUGAAGCUGCUGCUUGGCAAAGCACACAACCCUUGGAGACAUGCCCAGAAAACUGAAGCACCCCAUAAAAGAACUAAAACAAACAAACAACAAAAAUGCAAGCAGAAAAGAGCUCUCAUAGUGGCUUCUUGGGCCAAAGGCAGGUUUGUUUUUUUGGUUUUUUUUCUUUUUUUAAUUUUGGCAUUCUCCUGGAAACAACACCCAAGGACAGAGAAGGUACUGCCUAUCUACCCAUGUACCCUUCGGCUGUUGCCCAUAGGACAGUUCCCUCACAAUCCUUGAUUUUUUUUAUUUUUUUUUUUCUGAUGAAGAGCAUUUGAGCUCAAAGCUUCAGUUUGAAAUCUGCCCUCAAGUUUCCAUUGCACCCACUUUCUUUGGAUGAGCUUGUCACCUCAGGAAUCAGCAGCAUCCUGUUGCAUCAAGUCAUCUGUUCCUUUCUUGUAGUCACACUUUAAAAGUCCCUGCAUUGCUCCAGUUCUCUUUAGUGUCUAUCCUGUGAUAUCCACAUAGAAAUGGCAGUGUAAACUUUAUCAUGAUGUAUGCUGACAACCUGGGACCAGGUUGAAUUUUGGCAGACAGGGCUAGGGAAAUACAAACAGUGCAUGUGACUCAUAGUGUGCCUCUUUACGGAUAGAAACCCAUCUCUGUCCCUGAGAUCAUCCUGAGUUUCUUCAGUUUCUUCAGCAUAUGAGGAGGGAGGCAAAGGGUGGAUGCAAAAGAAGAAGUCAAAAGAACAUGCAAGAUAUCUGUGGCAAAUUAUGGACAUGACUGCAGUACAGAGAUUAUUAGAUUCUAACUUGAAUCUGAAAUUGAAGGACACUGACUUGCAACACCAACCUGCAGAUGACAAAAUAACGAAGAAGCUGAGGACUGGCUGAUGACAUUUGUUCUGACAGUACCAAUAUGAGCCCAAGCACCACCUGCACAGAGUUAAGAUUGUUUCAAACAGAAUCCAGCUAAAAACAUGAGACCAUAGACCUGCCGAGGGGGGAGCACCGUACGACAGAGCAGACCCUGCCACGGGCAUUAAACUGUGCGGCGUUUCUUCUGACCAGCGACUCACAGGCAGCUCCUGAAAGACUGGGACUGAGCCCGGCACUGGUGACCGAUGCCCAAGGGGUGGACCUGACCCUGUGGUGCAGCUCCCGAGGGGCCCGGAUUGCCGUGGGGUUCCUGCCUGCUCGCUAGUGAUGCUCCACUGGGCAGGCGGGAGGAGGUCACGCCUGGGUGCAGGAGUGAAAGUCACGUUCAGGAAAGUGUGGACUGAAUGAAGGACACGGUAAGCUUCCAGCAAUGUGGCAGGUUGAUGGAUAGUGAAGAUGGUGAUGGUGGGGAGAAUGUGAAGCAAAGGAUUGUCAUCCUUAUACGUGAAGCAGAACAUGGGGAUUAAAGCAAAGACUUUUUGAGUGAGCAGUCUGGGACAAUUGGUAUGCUUACAAAAAAGAGCAGGCUAAUGUGAUUCAGAGUAGUCAGAGAAGACAAUUUACAGACCUGCCUCUUUUGAAUGCUGCAGAAAGAAGAAAAGCCUUAUGGCAAGUUGGAGCAGCCUGUGAAGUGUAGCAGGGUAAAUAACUCCUUGCAAGUAGCAGUCGAAACAAAAACAGGAUCAACAGCUGCUCUGCCCAGCUCACAACUCAUCCUGCCUACUCCAGGUUGAGCUCCAGGCUGAUCUCUUGCUUUGGAAGAAAAUGCUAACAGUUUGAUCAAUUGAGAUUGCUGGACAGCAUCUCUUGCAGACAGACAAGCAUUUCAGGAACCAGUAGCAAUUAUGGAAUGGCCAUAAUAUGGCAGUUAUUUCUCAUCAUCAAUAUGGAUGUACACUGUUUUUAGGUAUCUGGAUGUAUUCCUGAUGAAGAUUCAUCUUUCAGUCACUACAGUCCAGUAAUUCUUCUGGUUUGAUAACAUUAUUUUUCUCAACAUUAUUUAUUGAUUUUUGCCCUUACAUUUGUUUCCAACAACUCUGUCUAGGAAUACUAUAGCAAAAAUACCAGUUUCAUCAGCAAAUAAAGUAUUCAUGCAUUUCACACUGGAUCAUUUUUUUUGUUUAGUUUUACACAGAGAGGAAACUGAGACAAUCAUGGAUAUAUGCUGGGGAUAAACAUAACUACCACACUUUUUUUCAGAAGAAUAUUGAGAUUAAAUUAGGAUUAUUGCAGAAAAAGGACUUGACUUUUUUUACUGGUGCCUAUGGGAAAUGCUAAUCACCUACAUGCUUCAGUGAACCAGCAUAUGUGUGAUAGCUCUUGGUUAAUUCCAGUUGUUCCCUCUGCAGUUUAAUCUGCUCCAGCCAAAAACAGAAUCCAAGCCCAUGUGCACAAUUUCCACAGUAACAGCUACAACAAAUCAGACAUGGUAACAUUUGUGUUGCAGGAUUCUUUAUCUGGUGGAAAGGGGAAAUAUCAGAGAGAAAGGCCAUAUCAUUCUCCAAUUGGACAAUUACUUGGCUGGUAUGAGGCUAAUGCUCCCUGCAUGACCAGCAGAUCUACAAUCAGUGCAGUCAGAGAUUUCUUAAUAUCUGGGAUAAAAUCCUAGCUAUCAAAGUGAGAAAAUUUUCUGUCCUAAA
Molecule: non-coding RNA, 2754 nt
Organism: Cyanistes caeruleus (blue tit)
Lineage: Eukaryota; Metazoa; Chordata; Aves; Passeriformes; Paridae
Source: RefSeq, a predicted model, not a curated record